Molecule: small nuclear RNA, 23 nt
Filed under: Arabidopsis thaliana (thale cress)
Lineage: Eukaryota; Viridiplantae; Streptophyta; Magnoliopsida; Brassicales; Brassicaceae
Description: snRNA_04963
Source: RNAcentral
GCGUUCUCAACAAAAAGAAACCA